GCUCCCAUCGUCUACCCCGGUUAAGGACACGACCCUCUCACGGUCGGAAGGCGCGUUCAAAUCGCGCUGGGAGCA
RNAcentral lists this transfer RNA (75 nucleotides) under Nanobdellota archaeon. RNAcentral describes it as "tRNA-Glu". Lineage: Archaea; Nanobdellati; Nanobdellota. The record is from RNAcentral.